RNAcentral lists this unclassified non-coding RNA (1382 nucleotides) under Nassauvia dentata. RNAcentral's name for it is "partial external transcribed spacer". Lineage: Eukaryota; Viridiplantae; Streptophyta; Magnoliopsida; Asterales; Asteraceae. The record is from RNAcentral.
GAUGAUGAUGCUUGCUUGGCAUGCUAUAGCCCCUCCUUGGUAGCAUGCUAUUGACAAGUAUCCGUCCCGAUUGCUAGGUGUACGUUGGAUUGGUGUGGUGCGGCCCGUUGCGAUUNCGUGUCGGUUUGCUGAAAUUGUCGGAGCAUUCUCCCGUCGAUGUGCAGUAACCUGCGUAGUGACAAGGUAUCCUAUGGAUCGAUGUGGCACGGGUAGGGGAAAAUCUCGAUUGGAGUUGCGAGGCGUUGACGCGGCCUGGACGGAGUUUUAUUCCGUGUUGGUUUGCUGAAAUUGUCGGAGCAUUCUCCCGUCGAUGUGCAGUAACCUGCCUUGUGACAAGGUAUCCUAUGGAUCGAUGUGGCACACGUAGGGGAAAAUCUCGAUUGGAGUUGCGAGGCGUUGACGCAGCCUGGACGGAGUUUACCUUCGUGUCGUGCGAUGCCGGUGUUUACGUGUUUUUUGUCCCGAUGAGACCCGAUUGCUAGGUGUACGUUGGAUUGGUGUGGUGCGGCCCGUUGCGAUUCCGUGUCGGUUUGCUGAAAUUGUCGGAGCAUUCUCCCGUCGAUGUGCAGUAACCUGCGUAGUGACAAGGUAUCCUAUGGAUCGAUGUGGCACGGGUAGGGGAAAAUCUCGAUUGGAGUUGCGAGGCGUUGACGCGGCCUGGACGGAGUUUUAUUCCGUGUUGGUUUGCUGAAAUUGUCGGAGCAUUCUCCCGUCGAUGUGCAGUAACCUGCCUUGUGACAAAGUAUCCUAUGGAUCGAUGUGGCACACGUAGGGGAAAAUCUCGAUUGGAGUUGCGAGGCGUUGACGCAGCCUGGACGGAGUUUACCUUCGUGUCGUGCGACAUCAUGGUUUUUGUGUUUCUCGUACCGUUCGGAGCAUUUCGGGAGCUUCUUCGUGCUNGUAGUUGUUUGCCUGGNNUUCGUACCGGGUUUGUGGCUACCUUGUGUGGGUCGUUUCAUGGAAUGAAUAUCGUAAAGGUGCAUGAGUGGAGCUUGGUGUGUUGCUGGUGGUUGGAUGACUGCAUUCGCAGCAACGUCCACUGGGGCAUACCUCUUCAUUUACGGCGAACGGUUUUUUCGCAACCGGGAGCAUUUGUUGGGUUUUCCUGUGCUGUGUACCUACUUUAGGGCAUGCUAUCGGUUGGUUAAUGUGGAUUUUCAUUCAACGUCACUCGCGUGGCGUGGUUUGAACUAGAACUGGCCCCUCUAUGAUCCGUGUCUUUGACGCAUUAUGUUUUUGGCAUGGCCCAUUUUGAUUACUGCCGGGAUCACCACAGAACCAGGAAGAGAUUGCGAGUUCCAUGACCCAUCUCCUCCAACAUCAGGCCACGAAGAAGACAAAUCCUAACACGAGAAGCCAACUCGAUCAGAUACAUUCCUCAU